RNAcentral lists this ribosomal RNA (453 nucleotides) under uncultured bacterium. Its description in RNAcentral is "bacterial SSU rRNA". It matches the Rfam family "Bacterial small subunit ribosomal RNA", at positions 8 to 507 of the family's 1533-position model. The record is from RNAcentral.
AGAGUUUGAUCAUGGCUCAGAACGAACGCUGGCGGCAGGCUUAACACAUGCAAGUCGAACGGGCGUAGCAAUACGUCAGUGGCAGACGGGUGAGUAACACGUGGGAACCUUCCUAGGGGUACGGAACAACUCAGGGAAACUUGAGCUAAUACCGUAUACGUCCGUGAGGAGAAAGAUUUAUCGCCCUUAGACGGGCCCGCGUCGGAUUAGCUAGUUGUGGGGUAACGGCCUACCAAGGCGACGAUCCGUAGCUGAUCUGAGAGGAUGAUCAGCCACACUGGGACUGAGACACGGCCCAGACUCCUACGGGAGGCAGCAGUGGGGAAUCUUGGACAAUGGGCGCAAGCCUGAUCCAGCCAUGCCGCGUGAGUGAAGAAGGCCUUCGGGUUGUAAAGCUCUUUGUCAGGGACGAUAAUGACGGUACCUGAAGAAUAAGCCCCGGCAAACUUCGUG